GGGCUUGUGGUCCAGUGGCUACGACGUCUCCCUCACACGGAGAAGAUCGCCGGUUCAAAUCCGGCCAGGCCCA
This is a transfer RNA of Thermoplasma acidophilum DSM 1728, 73 nucleotides long. It matches the Rfam family "tRNA". Rfam says of the family: Transfer RNA (tRNA) molecules are approximately 80 nucleotides in length. Their secondary structure includes four short double-helical elements and three loops (D, anti-codon, and T loops). Further hydrogen bonds mediate the characteristic L-shaped molecular structure. tRNAs have two regions of fundamental functional importance: the anti-codon, which is responsible for specific mRNA codon recognition, and the 3' end, to which the tRNAs corresponding amino acid is attached (by aminoacyl-tRNA synthetases). tRNAs cope with the degeneracy of the genetic code in two manners: having more than one tRNA (with a specific anti-codon) for a particular amino acid; and 'wobble' base-pairing, i.e. permitting non-standard base-pairing at the 3rd anti-codon position. Lineage: Archaea; Methanobacteriati; Thermoplasmatota; Thermoplasmata; Thermoplasmatales; Thermoplasmataceae. The record is from Rfam.